This 91-nucleotide transfer RNA is filed under the name Candidatus Cloacimonadota bacterium. RNAcentral describes it as "tRNA-Ser". It matches the Rfam family "tRNA". From Rfam's summary of the family: Transfer RNA (tRNA) molecules are approximately 80 nucleotides in length. The record is from RNAcentral. RNAcentral also lists the same sequence under 1 other name. Lineage: Bacteria; Pseudomonadati; Candidatus Cloacimonadota.
GGAGAGGUGGCCGAGCUGGUUUAAGGCGUGCGCCUGCUAAGCGUAUGUAGGGGAAACCUUACCGAGGGUUCGAAUCCCUCCUUCUCCGCCA